GAGGGAGGAAGGUCCUUGGAUUGUAAACCUCUUUUAUCAGGGAAGAAGUUCUGACGGUACCUGAUGAAUAAGCAUCGGCUAACUCCGUGCCAGCAGCCGCGGUAAUACGGAGGAUGCAAGCGUUAUCCGGAAUUAUUGGGCGUAAAGCGUCCGUAGGUGGUUAUGCAAGUCUGCCGUUAAAGAAUGGAGCUUAACUCCAUAGGAGCGGUGGAAACUGCAAGACUAGAGUACAGUAGGGGUAGCAGGAAUUCCCAGUGUAGCGGUGAAAUGCGUAGAUAUUGGGAAGAACAUCGGUGGCGAAAGCGUGCUACUGGGCUGAAACUGACACUGANGGAC
RNAcentral lists this ribosomal RNA (336 nucleotides) under uncultured cyanobacterium. RNAcentral's name for it is "bacterial SSU rRNA". It matches the Rfam family "Bacterial small subunit ribosomal RNA", at positions 401 to 754 of the family's 1533-position model. Lineage: Bacteria; Bacillati; Cyanobacteriota. The record is from RNAcentral.